GCCGAAGUGGCGGAACGGCAGACGCGGCGGUCUCAAAAACCGUUGGGGGUAAACCCCGUGCCGGUUCGAAUCCGGCCUUCGGCACCA
RNAcentral lists this transfer RNA (87 nucleotides) under Dehalococcoidia bacterium. Its description in RNAcentral is "tRNA-Leu". It matches the Rfam family "tRNA". Rfam says of the family: Transfer RNA (tRNA) molecules are approximately 80 nucleotides in length. Their secondary structure includes four short double-helical elements and three loops (D, anti-codon, and T loops). Lineage: Bacteria; Bacillati; Chloroflexota; Dehalococcoidia. RNAcentral also lists the same sequence under 1 other name. The record is from RNAcentral.